This 301-nucleotide ribosomal RNA is filed under the name Boophis madagascariensis (Madagascar bright-eyed frog). RNAcentral describes it as "partial 16S ribosomal RNA". It matches the Rfam family "Bacterial large subunit ribosomal RNA", at positions 2234 to 2597 of the family's 2925-position model. The record is from RNAcentral. Lineage: Eukaryota; Metazoa; Chordata; Amphibia; Anura; Mantellidae.
AUCCUAUUAUGUGCCCGGUGACUGUUUGUUCGGUUUUAGGUUGGGGUGACCGCGGAGUAUAAGAUAUCCUCCAUGAAAAAAAGCUAACUGCCCUUAUUAGAGAAAGACACUUCCAAAAAAUAAUAAAUUAAUUUUAAAUGAUCCGACAUUCGAUCAACGAACCAAGUUACCCUGGGGAUAACAGCGCAAUCCGUCCCGAGAGCCCCUAUCGACAGGCGGGUUUACGACCUCGAUGUUGGAUCAGGGUAUCCUAGUGGUGCAGCAGCUACUAAAGGUUCGUUUGUUCAACGAUUAAAACCCU